AUUAGAGUUUGAUCCUGGCUCAGGAUGAACGCUGGCGGCGUGCCUAAUACAUGCAAGUCGAGCGAAUGGAUUGAGAGCUUGCUCUCAAGAAGUUAGCGGCGGACGGGUGAGUAACACGUGGGUAACCUGCCCAUAAGACUGGGAUAACUCCGGGAAACCGGGGCUAAUACCGGAUAACAUUUUGAACCGCAUGGUUCGAAAUUGAAAGGCGGCUUCGGCUGUCACUUAUGGAUGGACCCGCGUCGCAUUAGCUAGUUGGUGAGGUAACGGCUCACCAAGGCAACGAUGCGUAGCCGACCUGAGAGGGUGAUCGGCCACACUGGGACUGAGACACGGCCCAGACUCCUACGGGAGGCAGCAGUAGGGAAUCUUCCGCAAUGGACGAAAGUCUGACGGAGCAACGCCGCGUGAGUGAUGAAGGCUUUCGGGUCGUAAAACUCUGUUGUUAGGGAAGAACAAGUGCUAGUUGAAUAAGCUGGCACCUUGACGGUACCUAACCAGAAAGCCACGGCUAACUACGUGCCAGCAGCCGCGGUAAUACGUAGGUGGCAAGCGUUAUCCGGAAUUAUUGGGCGUAAAGCGCGCGCAGGUGGUUUCUUAAGUCUGAUGUGAAAGCCCACGGCUCAACCGUGGAGGGUCAUUGGAAACUGGGAGACUUGAGUGCAGAAGAGGAAAGUGGAAUUCCAUGUGUAGCGGUGAAAUGCGUAGAGAUAUGGAGGAACACCAGUGGCGAAGGCGACUUUCUGGUCUGUAACUGACACUGAGGCGCGAAAGCGUGGGGAGCAAACAGGAUUAGAUACCCUGCUAGUCCACGCCGUAACGAUGAGUGCUAAGUGUUAGAGGGUUUCCGCCCUUUAGUGCUGAGUAACGCAUUAGCACUCCGCUGGGAGUACGCGCAGCUGAACUCAAGAUGACGGGGCCGCACAGCGUGAGCAUGUG
Molecule: ribosomal RNA, 939 nt
Filed under: Bacillus sp. FN31
Lineage: Bacteria; Bacillati; Bacillota; Bacilli; Caryophanales; Bacillaceae
Description: bacterial SSU rRNA
Rfam family: Bacterial small subunit ribosomal RNA
Source: RNAcentral